RNAcentral lists this ribosomal RNA (245 nucleotides) under uncultured bacterium. RNAcentral describes it as "partial 16S ribosomal RNA". It matches the Rfam family "Bacterial small subunit ribosomal RNA", at positions 524 to 768 of the family's 1533-position model. The record is from RNAcentral.
UACAUGGGGUGCAAACGUUGCUCGGAAUUAUUGGGCGUAAAGCGCGCGUAGGCGGUCGUUUAAGUCGGAUGUGAAAUCCCUUGGCUUAACUGAGGAAGUGCAUCCGAGACUGAACGGCUAGAGUACGAAAGAGGGUCGCGGAAUUCCCGGUGUAGAGGUGAAAUUCGUAGAUAUCGGGAGGAACACCGGCGGCGAAGGCGGCGACCUGGUUCGAGACUGACGCUGAGGUGCGAAAGCGUGGGGAG